CCUACGGGUGGCAGCAGUGAGGAAUAUUGGUCAAUGGGCGGAAGCCUGAACCAGCCAAGCCGCGUGAGGGAAGACGGUCCUACGCAUUGUAAACUUCUUUUGUCAGGGAGCAAGAACCGCCUCGAGUGCUUCGCCGAGAGUACCUGAAGAAAAAGCAUCGGCUAACUCCGUGCCAGCAGCCGCGGUAAUACGGAGGAUGCGAGCGUUAUCCGGAUUUAUUGGGUUUAAAGGGUGCGCAGGCGGAAGCGGCAGGUCAGCGGGAAAAUUGCGGGGCUCAACCUCGCCGAGCCGUUGAAACUGGUCGUCUAGAGUGGGCGAGAGGUAUGCGGAAUGCGUGGUGUAGCGGUGAAAUGCAUAGAUAUUACGCAGAACUCCGAUUGCGAAGGCAGCAUACCGGCGGCCAACUGACGCUGAGGCACGAAAGCGUGGGUAUCGAACAGGAUUAGAUACCCUGGUAGUC
Molecule: ribosomal RNA, 460 nt
Filed under: uncultured bacterium
Lineage: Bacteria
Description: partial 16S ribosomal RNA
Rfam family: Bacterial small subunit ribosomal RNA
Source: RNAcentral